This is a non-coding RNA of Candidatus Contendobacter odensis Run_B_J11, 77 nucleotides long. The record is from Rfam. Lineage: Bacteria; Pseudomonadati; Pseudomonadota; Gammaproteobacteria; Candidatus Competibacteraceae.
UUGAGCCGUAUGAAGGGAAACUUUCAAGUACGGUUCUUAGGGGAGGGAGUGGCAGAAAUGCCGCUUCCUUACCCGAC